GAGGUGAAGUUAAAUUCCCAUUGUUGACGAUACUGGGAGCUUAAUCUUGAGUUGGAAAAAACUGAACUAGGAGUUGACUGAACAUAGCUCUCUAAUUGCUACUGAAGUUCUAAUUUGCUGCUUAUAUAAAGUUGAUUGAGGAAUUUGAAUUGAAAAUCUGCAAAAACAUAGGAACAAAACUCUUAUAUAUAUAUAUAUAUAUAUAUAUAUAUAAUUGCGAGAUAGGCCCGGUGACGCGGCGCUUUUUCCCAGAAUUUAUUCAUGUGUUGUGGUUUAAAAAAAAAAAAAAAAAAAAAAAAAAAAAAAGAAGAGUCACGUCUCUUAAUAGUCUUCCAUCUACUUUUUUCCUCAUACUUUCAACCGUUUCAGUUCUGUUUCAUUCAACUAAACGCCUCCUUUUGCUACUUUUAGAUUCUCACUUGCCCCAAGUUUUUCAUACCCUGUCUCUACACCUAUGUACUUCGCCUGCAUUGCUCUUUGCUGCCCCUCUGCUCACCAUUUGUUGCUUGAAAAGGUUCUAUUGAGAAAAGUUUUUUUUACUGAGAACGGUUGCUUAAUUUUCCCUAUUUUUUUACCAAGUUACCGUGAACGUUGCUUCCAGUUCUUUUUUUCCUUCCCCUGUUUCAUUUCUAAUGGCAUAUAGUGCAGUGAAGAAACCAAUAUAGGAGGUACUCGCCGAGGAAAAUAUCCUCUUUCUCGCUUUCAAGAUUUAUUUGAUUAGUAUUUCAUGUUUCUCUGUGUCUAUUCAUUACCAAUUAUAGAUUCCAAGUUUGGCCGCAUGACUGUAUAACGCGGGGUUCCUCUGCUUUGCUGUACAUAUGGCUUUUUGUUUCUCUUUCUUUUUCUUUUUAAUUUUGGUGAUUGAAUCACUUCAUAUGUAUAUAUCUUGACUAAUAUAUUGUCCUCUUCUUAAAUGUCUUUAUUUAUAUCAUUUUCUGCCACUUUCUCCCUUUUUUUUUUAAACCCCUCAUCCUGUUCGUUCAACUUGUUGUUCAUUAAACAUUAUUAACUAAAGCAGUUUUAACCCUCAAUGGAUCAUACAAAUAGGAAAAAGAGAACAGUCUAAUGGAAACCGGAAAGAUUCUUCAAUUGUGGAUUUGUAAUUUACAUUAAAACCUUCAUAUUUUAUAUUCCAAUGGCGCCAACCACCAAGGCAGGGAGAAAAUUAGUCGCCGAUGAAGAAGUUCCGACGAUAAAAAGCUUCAUGUUCGAUUAAUAUUCCCUCUUUUUCUUUUCUCAUCUUGGGUCUUAUAUUGUUUUUUCGUCACAAUCACCGGAGUGACAAGCGCGAAACAGAUUUUUCAGAGCAAGUAAUGCUUCAACGCAGAGAUCCCGGUAAAGCUUCUAGAUGAGGCGACACUCCCUUUUCAUGCUUUGCCAGAUAGAGCAAGAAUGGAACUAUCAUUGCACGUAUAUUUUUGUCGUUUCAAAAAAAUUCCAAUUCCUUAAUUAAUAGUUUGUUCAUGGCAUCGCAACCCAGAAUAAAACAAUUACUGCCCUCUUUUAAGGCAGCGAGAUAAAUCAUCGAUCCUGCAGUCAUGGAUGUUGCUUUCUAUUGACAUCAAGGCGUUCUUUUGCAUAUAUUGCAAUGGUUCAGGUCAUUUAAUAGGAAUAAAAUAUGUCCCACCAACCAGGGGAUGAUGCUGAAUACAUGGCAGAUGAUAUGACAUGGAAGCUAUAGAUGAUGAUAUGGAUGAUUAGUUAACGGCAGUGACAUGGUCCGUGCUCCUCCCUGAAAAUAUAUUUUUGUGGUGAGUGUUAAACAUUUUAACUUCAAUAUGUUACUUGUCUACUUGUGGAUUAGAAUAAUAAAAUGCAAAAUAUUUCUGCUGCUGAGGCAAAGACUUUUAAGGGAUUCCCUGGGAAAGGCUUAGUAUAACAAGGGAGUAGUACAGGCAAACAAGAUUACAGCAAUACAAGAACUAUGAAAUACUCCUCAGUUUUGGGGAGCAUCAUAGAAGCCCCUUUUGGAUUGAUGUUUCAACUUUGAAGGUGCAUAUAAUUACACUUGAUAUAUUUGACAUGUGAGUGGUUAAGUUACUAUUAGACUUAAUUCAUUAUUUAACCAAUUUUCUUGUUCAUCUUUAUAGGUUUUUUAUACUAUAUAUUUUAUAUAUUUUGCAGGUUUUGGAGACUUGAGUUUACAAGUCCAGAUGUAGAUUUUGAAGACUUCAUGCAAGUUGAAGAGUUAGUUAUCAUUUUGCAAGGACUGCUAGGCAAUAUUUUGUAUUUUUUGCUAUGGAUGCUAACUUUUUCACUAAGAGGUUGUGUAAAUAGUAUGGUAACUUGAAUCAAUAGUAGUACCAUGACCCUAAUGAGAUGUUAAUCCAUGUUUUGAAAUUAAUUAUAUGUAUGAAAUAAUGGUUACUAUUGAAUAUAUUGUUGAAAUCCAAUUGAUUUCUUGUGCUGUAAGUUGUAUAAUAUUGUGAUGA
This is a long non-coding RNA of Lycium ferocissimum, 2432 nucleotides long. RefSeq lists it as uncharacterized. The transcript is spliced from 5 exons. Lineage: Eukaryota; Viridiplantae; Streptophyta; Magnoliopsida; Solanales; Solanaceae. The record is from RefSeq and is a predicted model, not a curated record.